RNAcentral lists this ribosomal RNA (383 nucleotides) under uncultured bacterium. RNAcentral's name for it is "bacterial SSU rRNA". It matches the Rfam family "Bacterial small subunit ribosomal RNA", at positions 28 to 408 of the family's 1533-position model. The record is from RNAcentral.
GAUGAACGCUAGCUACAGGCUUAACACAUGCAAGUCGAGGGGUUCCAAAGGAGCUUGCUUCUUUGGGUGACGACCGGCGCACGGGUGAGUAACGCGUAUCCGACCUGCCCAUGACUCGGGCACAGCCGCUCGAAAGAGCGAUUGAUUCCCGAUAUGUCUAUGAAGUAGAUUCAUGGAUGAAAGAUUCAUCGGUCAUGGAUGGGGAUGCGUAAGAUUAGGUAGUAGGCGGGGUAACGGUCCACCUAGCCGACGAUCAGUAGGGGUUCUGAGAGGAAGGUCCCCCACACUGGAACUGAGACACGGUCCAGACUCCUACGGGAGGCAGCAGUGAGGAAUAUUGGUCAAUGGGCGCGAGCCUGAACCAGCCAAAGUAGCGUGCAGGA